RNAcentral lists this transfer RNA (73 nucleotides) under Heterocephalus glaber (naked mole-rat). It matches the Rfam family "tRNA". From Rfam's summary of the family: Transfer RNA (tRNA) molecules are approximately 80 nucleotides in length. Their secondary structure includes four short double-helical elements and three loops (D, anti-codon, and T loops). The record is from Rfam by way of RNAcentral. Lineage: Eukaryota; Metazoa; Chordata; Mammalia; Rodentia; Bathyergidae.
GGCUGUGUAGCACUGCAGUCAAGGGCUUGGACUUUGAAGUCCGACUCCCUGGGUUCAAAUCCCAGCUUGGCCU